GCCUAGCCGUAACACGCAAUUAAAUUACCCAUUGCCCGCCAAACAACUACGAAAUUACACUUAAAACUUAAAAGACUUGACGGUACUUCACCUCACCCUAGAGGAGCCUGUCUAAUAACCGACAACCCACGAUUAACCCAACCCCCUCUUGCCUACAGUCUAUAUACCGCCGUCGUCAGCCUACCUUGUAAAAGAAAUAAAGUAGGCCAAACAGCACUUACACUAAAACGACAGGUCGAGGUGUAACUUAUGAGGGGGACCAAGAUGGGCUACACUCUCAUACCCGAGAAUACGGAAAACACUACGAAACUAGCCUUUAAAGGUGGAUUUAGCAGUAAGAUAGGAAUAAAAUACCUAACUGAACACAACGCAAUGAAGUGCGUACACACCGCCCGUCAUCCCUGCUAUCAC
RNAcentral lists this ribosomal RNA (411 nucleotides) under Bothrops ammodytoides (Yararanata). RNAcentral describes it as "partial 12S ribosomal RNA". Lineage: Eukaryota; Metazoa; Chordata; Lepidosauria; Squamata; Viperidae. The record is from RNAcentral.